GAUGAACGCUGGCGGCGUGCCUAAUACAUGCAAGUCGAGCGAACGGACGAGAAGCUUGCUUCUCUGAUGUUAGCGGCGGACGGGUGAGUAACACGUGGAUAACCUACCUAUAAGACUGGGAUAACUUCGGGAAACCGGAGCUAAUACCGGAUAAUAUUUUGAACCGCAUGGUUCAAAAGUGAAAGACGGUCUUGCUGUCACUUAUAGGUGGAUCCGCGCUGCAUUAGCUAGUUGGUAAGGUAACGGCUUACCAAGGCAACGAUGCAUAGCCGACCUGAGAGGGUGAUCGGCCACACUGGAACUGAGACACGGUCCAGACUCCUACGGGAGGCAGCAGUAGGGAAUCUUCCGCAAUGGGCGAAAGCCUGACGGAGCAACGCCGCGUGAGUGAUGAAGGUCUUCGGAUCGUAAAACUCUGUUAUUAGGGAAGAACAUAUGUGUAAGUGACUGUGCACAUCUUGACGGUACCUAAUCAGAAAGCCACGGCUAACUACGUG
RNAcentral lists this ribosomal RNA (497 nucleotides) under uncultured bacterium. RNAcentral describes it as "partial 16S ribosomal RNA". It matches the Rfam family "Bacterial small subunit ribosomal RNA", at positions 28 to 507 of the family's 1533-position model. The record is from RNAcentral.